Molecule: ribosomal RNA, 468 nt
Filed under: uncultured bacterium
Lineage: Bacteria
Description: partial 16S ribosomal RNA
Rfam family: Bacterial small subunit ribosomal RNA
Source: RNAcentral
GACGAACGCUGGCGGCGUGCUUAACACAUCCAAGUCGAACGGAAAGGCCCUGCUUUUGUGGGGUGCUCGAGUGGCGAACGGGUGAGUAACACGUGAGUAACCUUCCCUUGACUUUGGGAUAACUUCACGAAACUGGGGCUAAUACCGGAUAGCAGCCCCUGCUGCAUGGUGGGGGUUGGCAAGUUUCGGCGGCUGGGGAUGGACUCGCGGCUCCUCAGCUUGUUGGUGGGGUGGUGGCUUACCCAGGCGUUGGCGGGUAGCCGGCCUGGGAGGGUGACCGGCCAGAGGGGGACAGAGGGACGGCCCGGACUGGUACGGGGGGCAGCGGUGGGGGAUAGUGCACAAGGGGCGGAAGCCGGGUGGAGCGAGGCCGCGCGGGGGAUGGCGGCCUGGGGGUUGGAACCCGGGUUCGCCUGGGACGAAGCGUGGGUGCCGGUAAUGGGGAAAGAAGCACCGGAUAAUUAGGUG